This 497-nucleotide ribosomal RNA is filed under the name uncultured bacterium. RNAcentral describes it as "partial 16S ribosomal RNA". It matches the Rfam family "Bacterial small subunit ribosomal RNA", at positions 28 to 507 of the family's 1533-position model. The record is from RNAcentral.
GACGAACGCUGGCGGCGUGCCUAAUACAUGCAAGUAGAACGCUGAAGGAAGGAGCUUGCUCUUUCUGGAUGAGUUGCGAACGGGUGAGUAACGCGUAGGUAACCUGCCUGGUAGCGGGGGAUAACUAUUGGAAACGAUAGCUAAUACCGCAUAAAAUUGAUUAUUGCAUGAUAGUCAAUUAAAAGGUGCAACUGCACCACUACCAGAUGGACCUGCGUUGUAUUAGCUAGUUGGUGGGGUAACGGCUCACCAAGGCGACGAUACAUAGCCGACCUGAGAGGGUGAUCGGCCACACUGGGACUGAGACACGGCCCAGACUCCUACGGGAGGCAGCAGUAGGGAAUCUUCGGCAAUGGACGGAAGUCUGACCGAGCAACGCCGCGUGAGUGAAGAGGGUUUUCGGAUCGUAAAGCUCGGUUGUAAGAGAAGAACGAGUGUGAGAGUGGAAAGUUCACACUGUGACGGUAUCUUACCAGAAAGGGACGGCUAACUACGUG